Long non-coding RNA from Psammomys obesus (fat sand rat), 1149 nucleotides. RefSeq lists it as uncharacterized. The record is from RefSeq and is a predicted model, not a curated record. The transcript has 3 exons. NCBI's taxonomy places the organism in Eukaryota, Metazoa, Chordata, Mammalia, Rodentia, Muridae.
GAGAGAGAGAGAGAGAGAGAGAGAAAAGUCUCUACACUCGCCGAGAAGCGAUAAAUCGAUACACAGGAGGGAACUAGAGAAUCGGAUUCAGCGUCCCCAAUGCAGGCAGGCGAAAGUCCUCAGUCCCUUGUGGAUUGAAGUCAAAAAGGAAAACCAAACUGUUGAAAGACUGUCAGGCCUGACUCUUGGGGAAAGGUUGACUGUUCUUCCUAGAACCCUGCAUUUCAUCCUGUCUCUUCCUGGCCCGGGCAGAUGGCGCUGCUGAUAAGACGCUUGCAUUGCAAGUACAAGGAGCAGAGUUUACAUUCCCAGGGCCCACAUAAAAGCCUGGCUGCUCCGGUGGACUGCCUGAAAUCCUAGCAUUUGUGAGGCAGAGACUGGACUCUUGGUGAGCUAGACCAGCCAAGUCACAAGCUCUAGGUUCAAUGAGAGACCCUGCCUUAGUAAACGAAGAGGAGAGCGAUCCAGGCACACAGAAGUCAUCAACCUCUGGCCUCUGCUCGGACGUGCACAUACCACACGUACAUAUUCAAGAUUGCUUUUACAAAUCCGCCGUUAUUAAAGUCCUGGCAAGGGGUUAUGAUGGGGAAGAGUUAAAUCCUUAAGAGCAGGAAAGUCAGGCCAAAUGAAGGGCAGAUGGCUUUGGGCACACUGCCAGCGGCGCCAGGUUUGGAGCCCAGCUGCUGCCCUCUCGCCUAAUGAAUGAAGCACUGACAGCCUGUGGAAGAAGGUGGCAGUCAUCAGAUCCCGGGCCUUGAUGAAGGUGUGCCACAGGCAGAGUCCUCCUGGGACCCGAGAGACCAACGAGCAGGUGAGCAGAACCUGUCUGACCUCUUCUUCAAAGAGCAGUUUCCCAGGUGAGAAGAUAAGUCUCUGAGAAAGGUGCCUGGCAGUACACGGAGAUAAGGGUAUCUUGCCUGUGAACACAUCUACAGAGCAGCCUUUCCUUUAUAUGUUAGUUAUUUAUUUACAGAGCAUUUCAUCAGGAAGACCAGGGAUUCUUCAUUCAGACACUGAACUACUGCAUACCCAGAUACUGACUGGGCCCAGUGGUAUCCGGCAGAUGUUGGCAAAUAUACACCACACUGGAUGAUGAGCUCAGACCUAGCAUCUAAUAGACACCUAAUAAACUGAAUAAUAACAGACCAC